CCUACGGGAGGCAGCAGUGGGGAAUAUUGGGCAAUGGAGGAAACUCUGACCCAGCAAUGCCGCGUGAAUGAAGAAGGUCUUCGGAUUGUAAAGUUCUUUAGUCAGGGAAGAAUAAAAUGAUGGUACCUGAAGAAUAAGCGUCGGCUAAAUACGGGCCAGCAGCCGCGGUAAUACGGAGGGAGCAAGCGUUUGUCGGAAUGAAUGGGCGUAAAGGGUGCGUAGGCGGUUAUACAAGUUAGAAGUGAAAUACCCAGGGCUUAACUCUGGGGUUGCUUCUAAAACUGUAAGGCUUGAGUGCAGUAGAGGUAAGUGGAAUUCCUAGUGUAGCGGUGGAAUGCGUAGAGAUUAGGAGGAACACCAGAGGCGAAGGCAGCUAACUGGGCUGCAUCUGACGCUGAGGCACGAAAGUGUGGGGAGCAAACAGGAUUAGAUACCCGAGUAGUC
This 444-nucleotide ribosomal RNA is filed under the name uncultured bacterium. Its description in RNAcentral is "partial 16S ribosomal RNA". It matches the Rfam family "Bacterial small subunit ribosomal RNA", at positions 338 to 795 of the family's 1533-position model. The record is from RNAcentral.